ACUCCUACGGGAGGCAGCAGUGGGGAAUUUUGAGCAAUGGGCGAAAGCCUGACCCAGCAACGCCGCGUGAAGGACGAAAUCCCUCGGGAUGUAAACUUCGCAAGAACGGGAAGAAUAAGUAGGGGACAAUACCCCCUAUGAUGACGGUACCGUUUGUAAGCUCCGGCUAACUCCGUGCCAGCAGCCGCGGUAAUACGGGGGGAGCAAGCGUUGUUCGGAUUUACUGGGCGUAAAGGGCGCGUAGGCGGUCAGCACAAGUCAAUUGUGAAAUCUCCGAGCUUAACUCGGAAAGGUCAACUGAAACUGUGCGACUAGAGUGCGGAAGGGGCAACUGGAAUUCUUGGUGUAGCGGUGAAAUGCGUAGAUAUCAAGAGGAACACCUGCGGCGAAGGCGGGUUGCUGGGCCGACACUGACGCUGAAGCGCGAAAGCCAGGGGAGCGAACGGGAUUAGAUACCCCGGUAGUCCUGGCCUUAAACGAUGAAUGCUUGGUGUCUGGGGUUAUAAAGUCCCCGGGUGCCGUCGCUAACGCUUUAAGCAUUCCGCCUGGGGAGUACGGUCGCAAGACUGAAACUCAAAGGAAUUGACGGGGACCCGCACAAGCGGUGGAGCAUGUGGUUUAAUUCGACGCAACGCGAAGAACCUUACCUGGGCUAGAAUGCCUCUGACAACCCUAGAGAUAGGGCCUCCAAGGUAAAACUUGGCAGAGUGCAAGGUGCUGCAUGGCUGUCGUCAGCUCGUGUCGUGAGAUGUUGGGUUAAGUCCCGCAACGAGCGCAACCCUUAUCUUUAGUUGCCAGCAUUAAGUUGGGCACUCUGGAGAGACUGCCGUUGACAAAACGGAGGAAGGUGGGGAUGACGUCAAGUCCUCAUGGCCUUUAUGUCCAGGGCUACACACGUGCUACAAUGGCCGGUACAAACCGCCGCAAACUCGCAAGAGGGAGCCAAUCGGAAAAAG
RNAcentral lists this ribosomal RNA (956 nucleotides) under uncultured bacterium. Its description in RNAcentral is "bacterial SSU rRNA". It matches the Rfam family "Bacterial small subunit ribosomal RNA", at positions 335 to 1281 of the family's 1533-position model. The record is from RNAcentral.